RNAcentral lists this long non-coding RNA (219 nucleotides) under Elaeis guineensis (African oil palm). Its description in RNAcentral is "long non-coding RNA (EGUI_LNC041931)". The record is from RNAcentral. Lineage: Eukaryota; Viridiplantae; Streptophyta; Magnoliopsida; Arecales; Arecaceae.
UCUAUGGCUCUAUUUGAAGGAAAGAAGUCUUCCCUUUCUUCCCAUCAAUGAUUAAGGACUCAAGCCAGUGAAAUCAUUGGAUUUUUCUUUCUAAAAUCCAUGACCAAGGAAGGCAAAAUUAGAAUCAGGACCUAUGCUGGUUGAUUGGCGGUACGAGCUGGUAUAGAUCCAUACCAGAUCAGACCAACAUGAAUCAAUACAAACAAGAAGAAGAAAACC